GACGAACGCUGGCGGCGUGCUUAACACAUGCAAGUCGAACGGAAAGGCCCUGCUUUUGUGGGGUGCUCGAGUGGCGAACGGGUGAGUAACACGUGAGUAACCUGCCCUUGACUUUGGGAUAACUUCAGGAAACUGGGGCUAAUACCGGAUAGGAGCUCCUGCUGCAUGGUGGUGGUUGGAAAGUUUCGGCGGUUGGGGAUGGACUCGCGGCUUAUCAGCUUGUUGGUGGGGUAGUGGCUUACCAAGGCUUUGACGGGUAGCCGGCCUGAGAGGGUGACCGGCCACAUUGGGACUGAGAUACGGCCCAGACUCCUACGGGAGGCAGCAGUGGGGAAUAUUGCGCAAUGGGCGGAAGCCAGAUGCAGCAACGCCGCGUGCGGGAUGACGGCCUUCGGGUUGUAAACCGCUUUCGCCUGUGACGAAGCGUGAGUGACGGUAAUGGGUAAAGAAGCACCGGCUAACUACGUG
RNAcentral lists this ribosomal RNA (468 nucleotides) under uncultured bacterium. RNAcentral describes it as "partial 16S ribosomal RNA". It matches the Rfam family "Bacterial small subunit ribosomal RNA", at positions 28 to 507 of the family's 1533-position model. The record is from RNAcentral.